GUGUCCAGCCAGGCCGUCGGUAAUUACCGAGGGUGGCAAGCGUUAAUUCCGAAUUACCUGGGGCCGUAAAGCGCACGCAGGCGGCCUUGUUAAAGUCAGAUGUGAAAUCCCCCCGGGCUCAACCUGGGAACUGCAUCUGAUACUGGCAAGCUUGAGUCUCGUAGAGGGGGGGUAGAAUUUCCAGGUGUAGCGGUGAAAUGCGUAGAGAUCUGGAGGGAAUACCGGUGGCGAAGGCGGCCCCCUGGACGAAGACUGACGCUCAGGUGCGAAAGCGUGGGGAGCAAACAGGAUUAGAUACCCCGGUAGUCC
RNAcentral lists this ribosomal RNA (309 nucleotides) under uncultured microorganism. RNAcentral describes it as "bacterial SSU rRNA". It matches the Rfam family "Bacterial small subunit ribosomal RNA", at positions 505 to 796 of the family's 1533-position model. The record is from RNAcentral.